This 835-nucleotide unclassified non-coding RNA is filed under the name Hevea brasiliensis (rubber tree). Lineage: Eukaryota; Viridiplantae; Streptophyta; Magnoliopsida; Malpighiales; Euphorbiaceae. The record is from RNAcentral.
UUGCCAAUGAAAGUGCUUGCUAAAUGUAGAAAUAAAGAAGCGUGCCUUUCUAGAGCCUUGCGUACACAUAGGCACGUAAGGCAAGUGCUUGGUGAAUGUUGCUUGCCUUUCUCCUGUAUGGGCGCUAGGAUUGGAGCCUGGUUAGCCUUGAACCUGAGGCUUGCAUGAGGCACGCCUUUAAUAAUUAUGCUUUUGGGUUGUUUUGAAGAUUCCUUGGACGAGAUAUGGCAUUGGAUUGAUGUAUCUUGUACAGAUUCUAGAUAAUCCUGAUCAUUAGCCAGGAUGUGGUGCUGACGGUGAUGUGAUGAUUAUGACUUUUUACUUUAAAAAGCUUGAUUGUAAAAUACAGCCUCUAGUAAAGGCAUGCUAAUUAAUUUGAAUGGGAAAAUUAUAUCAAUUAGGAAAUGAAUUAAUUCAGAGAAGAAUAAGAAUCAUUCAAUGUAUAAUACAUAAAGUACGAUAUGUACAACUUGAAAGAUUCACAGGAUUGUGAAUGCAUUUUCAUUUGUUUUGUUCUUUUUCCAUCUUUUUAAAAAAAAAAAAGCCAAUAUUGCGGAUUAAGGUCCCUGUACAACUUGGAAGAUUCAGAGAAUUGUGACUGGAUUUUCAAUUGUUUAGUUCUUUUCCAUCUUUAAAAAAAUGCCAAUAUUGUCAUAGCCGUGUGUGAUUUGAAAACUUUGAUUGGUUUUAUAAGUAGAUUGAGUUAGAAAAUUUUGAUAGUGAAGGCUGCUUUCAGGGGCAGUCCAGGAUAGGUGUUUAAUUACAUCAAAUUUUUAGAAGCAACUCAUGAAUUCUUGUUGUAUGUGUUUUUAGGUUUGCUGGAAAUGGCAAAAGG